Non-coding RNA from Coturnix japonica (Japanese quail), 4280 nucleotides. Lineage: Eukaryota; Metazoa; Chordata; Aves; Galliformes; Phasianidae. The record is from RefSeq and is a predicted model, not a curated record.
AUGCUAUUAUAGCAACUUGGAUGGAAUUACACAGUUUCAUUAGUAAAAGCAAUCAUGAGUAGGACGCAAAAAAUGAUCCUAUAGCAGGAUUGUUCAAGUUUCUUAGCAGUGCUUUCAUAACACUGACAAAAAAUUGUGCAAAUUUAUGUGUAAUUCGUAACAUAAAGUCUAAAAUGUAUUGUUUCCUAGCUUUAACAAAACAUUGUUUCUUAAGAGUUUCUAGCUAAAUUAUAGUUCAGGUUAUUUAUAAUAUUAAAAAUACCUUAGUAACUGCCCACAGCAAUAUCACCUUCUAAAUGAGAUGAUUGAAAGUACUGCAAUAUCUCUGAGACUCCCAUCUAUAAAAUAGAAAUAGUUCUUAUGAUCAUAUAUGGUAAAUUUCUGUAAUGUGCAAGACCAAGAAUUUGAAACUAUUAAUUGUCUUUGCCAUUAAUAGAGUUUAGACUCCCGAAACAUAGAAGUGACUCAGCAAGACACUAACCCACCGGUUUCUGUGGCCAAAUUAAAUUUCAAGGGAAGUCUUUUUCUGCCUCUACACUAUUUUCUGUUGUGGUAUAUUUUCCUUUGAAUUCACUCUGUCCUGCACCUUUGAUGUGUAGAAAUACAAUGCCUGGAAAUAGUAUAAACACCUUCUAAUUGUGGUCACUCCUGUCCUUUAUUGCUAGUUAUGGUACAACUGUUUAGCCUGUUGAAGGCAGAGUACAUAUAUAUGUAAGCCUUCUGUCUGAUAAAGGAAGAUCUCAACAAAGCUGAGAACUGGAAGAGAAAUAGGAGACACUCACCACUCUGAAUGAGAGAAUAAAUCUUUCUCCAGGGUUACAUUUUGUCAAUCAAAAGUAUAUGUGCCUAUAGAUAUAAAUAAUAACAUUGAUUUGCUGGUGUAUGAGGCAGUCCAUACUUCACAGAUGAAUUGUUGGGUAGCCAUUACUUCUGAAGAAGUUAACUGUGUCCAUGUUGAAGGACGUGAGUUAGAACUAUUCAUGCCAGAUCUUGGUACCAAUUAUUGAGCUCAAUACAUCUUCAGUAAGCUAGGUGGGGGUGUUUGUUUCACUUUAUGGUUUUAUUGGAAAUCACUUAAAUGAAAUUUGUAGUUUGAGUCACACCUAAUUCAAAUGUAGUCUGGUUUUUCUGGAAAAAAUAAAAAUUGCUACCGAAGCUUUCACUAUUCCUCAAAAUUUGUUACCUUUUAUUUAUACACAUCUGGAUUGUGUCAAUGCAAAUGACUUUUGAUGCUUUGGAAUAGCAUGAAGAAUAUGCACUGUUCAUACCAGUGUGUCAGGCUUCUUAUUUGCAGUGACACAAUGCAUUACCAUGAAAAAUGUUGCGUUUCUUGAUUAGGAAAUCAUAAUUUCAGUACUAUACAUUCCAACAUUUUACUUCUCAUAGUGAGCUUUUGCAGGAGUAUGAGAUACACAGAUACUGUGUCAACUUACUAAGAAUUACAACCACAGUAUGUAAAUCAAGAUAAUCUGAGGGGAAAAGCAGUGUUCUUUAGCAGAGAUACUACAUAUCAAUCCUUAAAGACUGUAAGGAAGAUGAAAUUUAUUAUAAAGGUUCACUGUUUACAUAAACAUUAAUAUUUUCAAUAAUAUUGAAUGCAGUGAUGAAAAUAAAUUAUUAAAUAUACAUUCAUUGACAUUUCUGAAGGAAUAGUCAUUGUACCAUUACGAUAAUGACUUUUAAAGGGCAAAUUUUACCAUUAAAAAAACAAAAUAAAUCAAUCUGAAUUCAAGAGAGAUUUAAAAAUCUUUAUGGAACACAGUUUAUUUAUUUAUCAGAUCAAAUACAAAAGUACCUCAACUUACUUAUGAUGUUUCCCUUGAGCAGGAACUUUGCCUUUCCCAUCCCUACCAUUAAUGCUGCCGAACUGCAUCAUCGUUAUCAUUGGACAGAGUUGCCACAAGGCACCAGCCGCAGCCAGACUAAAAAUUGCUGAAGAUGAAAUUCAGAAGACACCCUCCUGGUUAUACUUGGGAUGGAAGAUUUUACAACAGAACGUCCAGCUACAGACCCUGACAAUAGGAACAAAGAUUAAUACUUUGAAUGAAUUACAGAAACUGUCAGGCACCAUAAAUUGGGUAAGACCACAGGAGCCUCUACAGAGGACCUCCAUCCCCUCUUUAAAUUAUUGGAAGGGGACCCAGAGUUGUUAUCACUGUGGCAUUUGACUGCUGAAGCUAAAACAGCUCUGAAUACAGCUGUUACAAAGAUGAAUCAACAAGCAUCACAUCACAGAAAGAUAAACCUGCCAACUAGCCUUUUUGUUAUUAGUUCUAGUAGUUAUUAGUGUCGAUCUGCCUAGGUGUAGGAGGGCCCUAUAUCUGUACAGGCUGGAUUGAUGAGCUGAGGCCAAUGGUGUGAUCUUUAACAAGACCUAGUGCUGGGUACAUUUUGUGUACAACAACCCCUUGCAUCUACAGGACUGCGCUAUAGUGGCUAGAAUGCUGAAUUCUGGCUUGUAUGAGAAAUAGUGUUGCCAGCAGAAGCAGAAUGAUAUUUGUCCCCCUAUAUUUAGCUGCGGUGGAGCUACAUAUCGAGAACUGUGUUUAGUUUGGGGCCACUUAUUAUGACAAAGGCAUUGAGGAACCAGAGAUUGUCAAGAGAAGAACAACAAAACAGGUGUGGGUUCUUAAGAAGAGUGGCUGAUGGAUCUGGGAUUGUUUAAUCUGAAGAAGAGGAGGUUCAGGGGAGACGUUAUUACUCUACUACUACCUGAAAGGAGGUUGUGCUGAGGUGGUAGCUGGACUCUUCUCACAGAUAACAGUGAUAGGAAAAGAGGUAGCGCCUUUGAGUUGUGCCAGGGGAGGUUCAGAUAUUAGUAUUCAGAUAUUAGUAAAGAUUUUGUCCCUGAAAGAGUGGUAAUGUGUUAGAACAGACUACCCAGGGAGGUGGUUGGGUCACCAUCCCUGGAGGUGUUCCAAGAAAAGGGUGGAUGUCACAGGCUGGAAGUUCCCUGUGUCCAAUACUGCAGGUGUAGAAAUCAAUACCCACUCUGACUUGUUGGCAUUCUUUAACAGCAGCAGAAUCUUGAGCUGGUGUCACACAUAAUUCUACCAGUAAAAUUUAUAUUUAAAAGUCUCUUACUGUAUUCCCUUUGAAAUUCAUUGUUUAUUGAAUUAUUGUAGGUUACUCUGAUGCAGCUAAUGUACAUGUCAGACAAUUUUUUCCAAUGUUAUUCUGAAAUCUUUUGGGGAGUCCUCUUCUAGCUAAGAAAAAAAAGGCAGAAUACCUUACAUUCCUUCAUCUUGCACUGAAAACUCUGUAUUAAAAACAGAUUCCCUGUUCAUCUCCUCCAAUGUGCAUUGAGCAAAAAUGAAAAACUAGUAGCAGAGUAGUUGCUGUAGGAGCAGCAAUCAGAUUGAAGUUUGAAUCAUUACCUGUAAAGGUAGUUUACCAAAAACUUUAAACAGCAGGCAGUAGCAUAGAACUCAAGCUAUUUCAGUGGCAUUUCACAUUCUGAUAAGCACGCUAUGAAUUACUCUGGAUAUGUUUAUGUCACAGGGAGGACAGUUCCAUUUGCAGCAUAUCUGCACUUUUAUUUUUGAUAGGUUCAAUCAGACUCACAAACUGGGACUAUGUGUAAGUGUAAGAGCAGGAGAUGUAAGGCCAUCACGAACAGUUCAGUAAAAAGACUCAUGUAUGCCAAAGCAUAUUUCUUUUGCGAGCAUGCAAUCAAGUCAUAUGCACAUUAAAAUGAUGGAGGAAAUAAGACCUAGAGAGAUGCAAGCAUUGUCAUUUUCACAGAGAUAUAGGUUUUCUCCAUCUCCCAGCAGCUUUGAAACACCUGAUACCUUUUUUCAUAUCUUUUCAGGCUGUGGAACAAGAACUCUAGCAUACAGAAUCGAAAAUCAAAUCAAAUAAAAUUUCCAGUGAAAACAUGUCAACACUAAUAAGGAUUGGAAAUCAGACAUCAGCCUGUAUUUAAUGAGACAGAGUAACGUGUUUUCUCUGAGAAUAGUUUGUUCUACAUUUGCUAAACAGUCUUCUGUGUACUGGUCAGCACUGGAAUUAAGCAUAGGCUGGUCCUUGGUGCUGUAUGGCAGUUCUAGAAAAUUGUUCAUAUAUUCCACUGGUUCCUUUGCAUUUAUUUCCUCAUUCUUCCUUAGCAAGAGAAAAUAAACAGAGAGUUUACAUUCUGAUCCCAGUUACUGCACUAUAAACUUGAUGGAAUGUUGUCACUUGAGAAAAUGCCUCUGAAUUUAUGUCAGUGCAAUUGAAUAUAACAAAAUCUGGCAGUGCCAUGAAAGAAAAAAAAAAAAAAAAAAAAAAAAAAAGGCAGA